UGAACGCCUCUAAGUCAGAAUCCUAGCUAGCAACCGGCGCUCUCGCCCGUCGUUCGCCUCCCGACCCACAGUAGGGGCCUUCGGCCCCCAUGGGCUCGUGUCGCCGGUGUAGCCCCCGCGGUGGUAUAGCCACGGGUGGCCAUCGGGAAGUGAAAUUCCGCACGGACGACGGGCCGAAUCCUUUGCAGACGACUUAAAUUG
Molecule: ribosomal RNA, 201 nt
Filed under: Cyclophora tenuis
Lineage: Eukaryota; Bacillariophyta; Fragilariophyceae; Cyclophorales; Cyclophoraceae
Description: partial Eukaryotic large subunit ribosomal RNA
Source: RNAcentral